Molecule: ribosomal RNA, 179 nt
Filed under: Escherichia coli
Lineage: Bacteria; Pseudomonadati; Pseudomonadota; Gammaproteobacteria; Enterobacterales; Enterobacteriaceae
Also listed under: 1 other name
Description: partial 23S ribosomal RNA
Rfam family: Bacterial large subunit ribosomal RNA
Source: RNAcentral
GGUUAAGCGACUAAGCGUACACGGUGGAUGCCCUGGCAGUCAGAGGCGAUGAAGGACGUGCUAAUCUGCGAUAAGCGUCGGUAAGGUGAUAUGAACCGUUAUAACCGGCGAUUUCCGAAUGGGGAAACCCAGUGUGUUUCGACACACUAUCAUUAACUGAAUCCAUAGGUUAAUGAGGC